UACAGCCAUAGCACAUUGAAACAUCAGUUCUCAUAUGAUCACUAAAGUUAAACAAUGUUGAGCCUGGGCAGUAUCUAGAUGGGUGACUGCUUGAGAAUACUUGGUGCUGUAA
This is a non-coding RNA of Acanthosepion pharaonis, 112 nucleotides long. The record is from the annotation of a GenBank genome assembly. Lineage: Eukaryota; Metazoa; Mollusca; Cephalopoda; Sepiida; Sepiidae.